GGGAAUUCCUCAGUACGGCGAGUGAAGCGGCAAGAGCUCAAUUUGGAACCUGGCUCCCAGAUCCGCAUGUGAUUCCGUAGAUCUUUGGUGCGGCCCCCAGUCUAUUGCCCUGGAACAGGCUGUCUCAUAGGGUGAGAAUCCUCUCUUCGGGCGGGGUGUCCUGCCCGUGUAAAGCUCCUUCUUACGAGUCGUAGUUGUUUGGGAAUCAGCUCUAAAUGGGUGGUGAAUUUCAUCAAAGCUAAAUACUGGCCGGAAGACCAUACGCCCAAUAGGUGAUCAAAAUGAAAAGCACUUUAAAAAAUUAACACACGUGAAUUGUUGAAAGGAAGCACUUGCUACCACACUCCCCGCGGGUUCAACCGGCAUUCGUGCCGGUGUACUUCCCCGUGGGCGGGCACCUUCCGUUUACGCUGCCGGUCAAAGGCC
Molecule: ribosomal RNA, 426 nt
Filed under: Aspergillus cf. tubingensis Fun31
Lineage: Eukaryota; Fungi; Ascomycota; Eurotiomycetes; Eurotiales; Aspergillaceae
Description: eukaryotic LSU rRNA
Rfam family: Eukaryotic large subunit ribosomal RNA
Source: RNAcentral